Molecule: RNA transcript, 1361 nt
Organism: Camponotus floridanus (Florida carpenter ant)
Lineage: Eukaryota; Metazoa; Arthropoda; Insecta; Hymenoptera; Formicidae
Exons: 4
Source: RefSeq, a predicted model, not a curated record
CAUGUUAGCGCGUGAUUGCUACGUCAUACGCGUCAUGGCCGCUCUCAGGUUUCUUUCUGCUUGUUAUUGUUGAUAAUUUAUUUAGUACUCGUUUGUUUCUUGAAAUAUCUAUGUAUGAGAAGAUCCUUAUACCCGGUAUAAGUUUUUACGCUGUAUACUUUCAGUAUUUUAUGAAAAAUUAUUCACAAGUGUUAAAAUGGAGACUCGCCACAAACAUAACAAACCUAUAACAAAGGAUACGAACGAGUUUUCCUUCAGUAAAGAGGAGGACCUGAUUAUGUUAUUGAAUGCUAUUUUCAAAUAUGGAUAUUCAAAUCUUCCUUCCACUAUACUGCCAAAUAUGUCUGAGGAAGAGCGUCAUUCUGCAUUACAGUCAGCACUAGAAAAGGCAAAGAUUGCUAUUGACAAGAAACCUUCAGUAAUUGAAUGGUUAAACAGUAGCAUAUUUGACAAUGAUGAGUAUAAUAUACCUAUGGCAUUGUUACUUAUUGGAUUGUACGAGCUGUGUCCAUUGUGCGAGCAAAGAAAUGAAAAGUGCAAUUUUAGGGAAAUAUAUCUCUUUCUUUACAAGAUGACAACAAAUCAAAUUGUACCAUAUUUAUCGCAUGAGUCUGCAGAAAUCUUAUACAAACUAUUAUCAGGCUUAAUAGAUGAAGUAUGGCCAAGCAUACAGCCAGAGCUCCUUCAGUACUUAAGCAGUAUACAUAUUUACAGCAGAUCUGAAGUCAGGAGAACAUAUUCAGGAAAAAAAAUACUGAAGAAAAAAGCAGCAAAAAACUGCUCAUCCUAAAAGUAUAAGUGAUUUCAAUUUUCGGCUAUAAUUUUAAAGUUCUUUUAUUCUAAGAUUUUUUAACUCUGAAGAUUUAAUAUUCCAAAAAGGACUGUAAGACCCAAGAAAUAGUAAAUGUUGAAGGCUCAAAAUCCUUUGCUGUUGAACUAGUUGGGCUCCAAGAUUCUCCUCGUGCCAAUGUAGCGAUCUAAGUGUCAGAAGAGAAAUAUAUGCUUAAAAGAUGAACAACAUGGUGGAAAAAUGAAUGGAAUAGACGACUAAUUCAAUGAUUAUCUAAUCAUAUUUAAAAACUUUAUCACCUUGUCUCUGUACAAUGCUGCAGCUUUUGUAUUAUAACGCUGUGAGAUAGACAUAAAGUCAUCCCAGUCAGGUUGACUUUCGAAAAAUUCUCGAGCGUUUCUGUUACCACCGACUUUCAUUUUUGCUAGUUCCACAUCUUUCCAUUUAUCCAUAGAGACAGAACGGACAAAUGACAAGUGUACUCCUAAGCCACGAUGUUUGCCCGAACAUUCCAAACAUAUCCAGAUUCCAUAUGUCACAGAUACCCAUUGUGGAUUAUGGCUGCUGCAUU